RNAcentral lists this ribosomal RNA (449 nucleotides) under uncultured bacterium. Its description in RNAcentral is "partial 16S ribosomal RNA". It matches the Rfam family "Bacterial small subunit ribosomal RNA", at positions 29 to 523 of the family's 1533-position model. The record is from RNAcentral.
AACGAACGCUGGCGGCAGGCCUAACACAUGCAAGUCGAACGAGAUCUUCGGAUCUAGUGGCAGACGGGUGAGGAACACGUGGGAACAUCCCUUUCAGUUCGGAAUAACGUUGGGAAACUAACGCUAAUACCGGAUACGUCCUUCGGGAGAAAGAUUUAUCGCUGAAAGAUUGGCCCGCGUCUGAUUAGCUAGUUGGUGAGGUAAUGGCUCACCAAGGCUACGAUCAGUAGCUGAUCUGAGAGGAUGAUCAGCCACAUUGGGACUGAGACACGGCCCAAACUCCUACGGAAGGCAGCAGUGGGGAAUAUUGGACAAUGGGCGCAAGCCUGAUCCAGCCAUGCCGCGUGAGUGAUGACGGCCUUCGGGUUGUAAAGCUCUUUUGUCCGGGAAGAUAAUGACUGUACCGGAAGAAUAAGCCCCGGCAAACUUCGUGCCAGCAGCCGCAGUAA